Molecule: ribosomal RNA, 468 nt
Filed under: uncultured bacterium
Lineage: Bacteria
Description: partial 16S ribosomal RNA
Rfam family: Bacterial small subunit ribosomal RNA
Source: RNAcentral
GACGAACGCUGGCGGCGUGCUUAACAUAUGCAAGUCGAACGGAAAGGCCCUGCUUUUGUGGGGUGCUCGAGUGGCGAACGGGUGAGUAACACGUGAGUAACCUGCCCUUGACUUUGGGAUAACUUCAGGAAACUGGGGCUAAUACCGGAUAGGAGCUCCUGCUGCAUGGUGGGGGUUGGAAAGUUUCGGCGGUUGGGGAUGGACUCGCGGCUUAUCAGCUUGUUGGUGGGGUAGUUGCUUACCAAGGCUUUGACGGGUAGCCGGCCUGUGAGGGUGACCGGCCACAUUGGGACUGAGAUACGGCCCAGACUCCUACGGGAGGCAGCAGUGGGGAAUAUUGCACAAUGGGCGGAAGCCUGAUGCAGCAACGCCGCGUGCGGGAUGACGGCCUUCGGGUUGUAAACCGCUUUCGCCUGUGACGAAGCGUGAGUGACGGUAAUGGGUAAAGAAGCACCGGCUAACUACGUG